GAUGAAGAACGUAGUGAAAUGCGAUAAGUAAUGUGAAUUGCAGAAUUCAGUGAAUCAUCGAAUCUUUGAACGCACCUUGCGCCCUUUGGCUAUUCUGAAGGGCAUGCCUGUUUGAGUAUCAUGAACACCUCAACUCUCAUGGUUUGCCAUGAUGAGCUUGGACUUUGGGGGUCUUGCUGGCCUACGGUCAGCUCCUCUCAAAUGAAUCAGCUUGCCAGUGUUUGGUAGAGUCGCAGGUGUGAUAACUAUCUACGCUUGUGGUUUUCUGCCAGAUAACCUUCAGUGAUGGAGGUUCGCUGGAGCUUAUAAAUGUCUCUCCCCAGUGAGGACAGCUUUUUGAACGUUUGAUCUCAAAUCAGGUAGGACUACCCGCCGAACUUAAGCAUAUCAAUAAGCGGAGGA
This 402-nucleotide unclassified non-coding RNA is filed under the name soil metagenome. RNAcentral's name for it is "partial contains 5.8S ribosomal RNA, internal transcribed spacer 2, and large subunit ribosomal RNA". The stretch from base 1 to 121 matches the Rfam family "5.8S ribosomal RNA", at positions 35 to 154 of the family's 154-position model. The record is from RNAcentral.